RNAcentral lists this ribosomal RNA (441 nucleotides) under Duttaphrynus melanostictus (Asian common toad). Its description in RNAcentral is "partial 12S ribosomal RNA". It matches the Rfam family "Bacterial small subunit ribosomal RNA", at positions 331 to 991 of the family's 1533-position model. Lineage: Eukaryota; Metazoa; Chordata; Amphibia; Anura; Bufonidae. The record is from RNAcentral.
CCACAAGGGACCUCAGCAGUGAUUAACAUUGAGCAUUAGCGAAAGCUUGACUCAGUUAAAGUAAACAGAGCCGGCUAAUCUGGUGCCAGCCGCCGCGGUUACACCACGUGGCUCAAAUUGACCCCAUUCGGCGUAAAGCGUGAUUAAAGUUAAACAUCACUAGAAUUAAACUAAAACUAAGCUGUGACACGCUUGUUUAUAAGAAAUACAAAAACGAAAGUUAUUCUAACACAAUCGACUUGAACUCACGACAGCUGGGAAACAAACUGGGAUUAGAUACCCCACUAUGCCCAGCCGUAAACUUUUACUUACACUCAAUCGCCAGGGAACUACGAGCUAAGCUUAAAACCCAAAGGACUUGACGGUACCCCAUAUCCCCCUAGAGGAGCCUGUCCUAUAAUCGAUAACCCACGUUAAACCUCAGCGUUUUUAGUUAAUCAG